This is a non-coding RNA of Pelobates cultripes (western spadefoot toad), 452 nucleotides long. Lineage: Eukaryota; Metazoa; Chordata; Amphibia; Anura; Pelobatidae. The record is from the annotation of a GenBank genome assembly.
GUUUACCCUCAUCACCGACCACAACCCAUUGGUCUGACUUAACUGGGUCUCAGGGGAUAAUGGCCGAUUGUUACGGUGGAGCCUGGCCCUGCAACCCUACAACUUUACAAUUCACUAUCUGCUCAGUAAUCAGAAUGGCAACGCCAAUGGAUUGUCCCGGCAAACAGAGCUCACCAACCUCAGUUAAAUCCAGAAAUCCCCAAGUUGACCUAAAAAAGGUCAAACCGGGUCUCCCGGGAGUGUUCCACAAGGAGGGAGCAAUGUGACAGACCUCCCUGUCCCUGAAUUUUACAGUUUUUUGUUCACUUCGCCCGUUUGUUCGGUGAAAUACAUCCACCACAUAUGUUAACUUCCCCGUUCAAAUACCAAAUAAUCUACUGAACGACAGACCACCCAUAUGCAGAGUGUGCUGCUUGUUGACCCCAUUAACCUUUGCUAAGACCUUCAUACCC